RNAcentral lists this ribosomal RNA (364 nucleotides) under Drymoluber brazili. RNAcentral's name for it is "partial 16S ribosomal RNA". It matches the Rfam family "Archaeal large subunit ribosomal RNA", at positions 1905 to 2451 of the family's 2987-position model. Lineage: Eukaryota; Metazoa; Chordata; Lepidosauria; Squamata; Colubridae. The record is from RNAcentral.
ACAUAACCUUUAGCCAAACCAAUAUUAAAGGCAACACCUGCCCGGUGAACAAUUAAACGGCCGCGGUACCCUAACCGUGCAAAGGUAGCAUAAUCAUUUGUCUACUAAUUAUAGACCUGUAUGAAAGGUAAAAUGAGGGUCCAACUGUCUCUUAUAAUAAAUCAAUUAAACUGAUCCCCCAGUAAAAAAGCUGGGAUACCCACAUAAGACCAGAAGACCCUGUGAAGCUUAAACUAACAAUUAAACCAAAUAAUAACUACUUUCGGUUGGGGCGACCUUGGAAAAAAAAAGAACUNUCCAAAUACACGAUCUUACCUCGAACUAACAGGCCCACAAGCCACCAAAUAUUUGACCCAGCAAAGCU